ACCAACGCUGAAAAGCGUUGCUGAACGCACAGAAGUCAGCAGAGGUCAUAGUAAGCCGGAGUGCGAAGAGUACAAAGGAUGAAGGAC
Molecule: non-coding RNA, 87 nt
Filed under: uncultured Enterocloster sp.
Lineage: Bacteria; Bacillati; Bacillota; Clostridia; Lachnospirales; Lachnospiraceae
Source: RNAcentral